Molecule: ribosomal RNA, 1405 nt
Filed under: uncultured bacterium
Lineage: Bacteria
Description: bacterial SSU rRNA
Rfam family: Bacterial small subunit ribosomal RNA
Source: RNAcentral
AGUUCGUUUCUGGCUCAAGAUGAACGCUGGCGGCGUGCUUAACACAUGCAAGUCAAACGGGGUUUAGAAGGAAGCUUGCUUUCAUUUAAACCUAGUGGCGGACGGGUGAGUAACGCGUGAGGAACCUGCCCUUCAGUGGGGAACAACAACUAGAAAUGGUUGCUAAUACCGCAUAACGUCUGAGUGCCACAUGACAUUCCGACCAAAGGAUUUAUUCGCUGAAGGAUGGCCUCGCGUCCGAUUAGGCAGUUGGUGAGGUAACGGCCCACCAAACCUACGAUCGGUAGCCGAACUGAGAGGUUGAUCGGCCACACUGGUACUGAGACACGGACCAGACUCCAACAGGAGGCAGCACUAAGGGAUAUUGGUCAAUGGGCGGAAGCCUGAACCAGCCAUGCCGCGUGAGGGAUGAAGGCCCUACGGGUCGCAGACCUCUUUUGCCGGAAGGAUAACGUGCCCAACGCGUUGGGCAGUGAAGGCACCCGGAGAAUAAGCAUCGGCUAACUCCGUGCCAGCAGCCGCGGUAAUACGUAGGAUGCGAGCGUUAUCCGGAUUUAUUGGGUUUAAAGGGUGCGCAGGCGGUGUAGUAAGUCAGCGGUGAAAUCCGACGGCUCAACCCCUAGUCAGUGCUUUGGAUACUGUCUGGCUAGAAUACGGUAGGGGCCGGCGGAAUUUGGGGUGUAGCGGUGAAAUGCGUAGAUAUCACGAAGAACCCCGGUGGCGAAGGCAGCUUGCUGGACGGUCAUUGACGUUGAGGCUCGAAAGCGUGGGGAUCAAACAAGGUUAGAUACCCUGGUAGUCCACGCUGUAAACGAUGGAUAGUAGGUGUGGGGGGACUGACCCCUUCCGUGCCGCAGUUAACACAAUAAGCAUUCCGCCUGGGGAGUACGGCCGCAAGGCUAAAACUCAAAGAAAUUGACGGGGGCCCGCACAAGCAGAGGAGCAUGUGGCUUAAUUCGAUGCAACGCGAAGAACCUUACCUGGAUUUGACAUCGUGGGCAAUGCAUUAUGAAAGUAGUGCGGAGGUUAUCCCAUAGACAGGUGCUGCAUGGCUGUCGUCAGUUCGUGCCGUGAGGUGUUUGGUUAAGUCCACCAACGAACGCAACCCCUUUGCGAUGUUGCCAGCGGGUCAUGCCGGGAACUCGUCGCAUACUGCUGGUUUUCGCGAGAGGAAGGUGGGGAUGACGUCAAGUCAGUAUGGCCCCUACAUCCAGGGCUGCACACGUGCUACAAUGGCAUAUACAGAGGGACGGGAGGCCGCAAGGCGGAGCAAACCCCACAGAGUAUGCCUCAGUUCAGAUCGGGGUCUGCAACCCGACCCCGUGAAGUCGGAUUUGCUAGUAACGGCGUAUCAGCUACGACGCCGUGAAUGCGAUCCCGGCCCUUGCACACACCGCCCGUCAAG